RNAcentral lists this ribosomal RNA (481 nucleotides) under uncultured bacterium. Its description in RNAcentral is "partial 16S ribosomal RNA". It matches the Rfam family "Bacterial small subunit ribosomal RNA", at positions 28 to 507 of the family's 1533-position model. The record is from RNAcentral.
GAUGAACGCUGGCGGCGUGCUUAACACAUGCAAGUCGAACGAAGCACUUUAUUUGAUUUCCUUCGGGACUGAUUAUUUUGUGACUGAGUGGCGGACGGGUGAGUAACGCGUGGGUAACCUGCCUUGUACAGGGGGAUAACAGUUGGAAACGGCUGCUAAUACCGCAUAAGCGCACAGCAUCGCAUGAUGCAGUGUGAAAAACUCCGGUGGUAUAAGAUGGACCCGCGUUGGAUUAGCUAGUUGGUGAGGUAACGGCCCACCAAGGCGACGAUCCAUAGCCGACCUGAGAGGGUGACCGGCCACAUUGGGACUGAGACACGGCCCAAACUCCUACGGGAGGCAGCAGUGGGGAAUAUUGCACAAUGGGCGAAAGCCUGAUGCAGCGACGCCGCGUGAGCGAAGAAGUAUUUUGGUAUGUAAAGCUCUAUCAGCAGGGAAGAUAAUGACGGUACCUGACUAAGAAGCACCGGCUAAAUACGUG